UUCCCAGUGGCUCAGUGGUAAAGAAUCUGCCUGCAAUGCAGGAGCCACAGGAGCCUCAGGUUCAAUCCCUGGGUUGGAAA
Molecule: transfer RNA, 80 nt
Filed under: Bos taurus (domestic cattle)
Lineage: Eukaryota; Metazoa; Chordata; Mammalia; Artiodactyla; Bovidae
Also listed under: 4 other names
Rfam family: tRNA
About the family: Transfer RNA (tRNA) molecules are approximately 80 nucleotides in length. Their secondary structure includes four short double-helical elements and three loops (D, anti-codon, and T loops).
Source: Rfam by way of RNAcentral